AAAUAAGAACUGAUUUAUCAUAUAUGAUUUCGGCUCAUACCUAGAUGUUCUUACAUCCUUAUUUU
Molecule: transfer RNA, 65 nt
Filed under: Liocranchia reinhardtii
Lineage: Eukaryota; Metazoa; Mollusca; Cephalopoda; Oegopsida; Cranchiidae
Description: tRNA-Arg
Source: RNAcentral